CCUGAACGCUGGCGGCGUGGCUAAGACAUGCAAGUCGUACGGGUGUAGCAAUACACCAGUGGCGAACGGGUGAGUAAUGAAUCGCUAACGUGCCCCGGACUCUGGGAUAGCUGCCCGAAAGGGCAGGUAAUACCGGAUGACAUAACCGAUCCGCAUGGGUUGGUUCUCAAAGGUCCGCCGGUCUGGGAGCGGGCGAUUUCGUAUCAGCUAGUUGGUGAGGUAACGGCUCACCAAGGCGACGACGCGUAGCCGGACUGAGAGGUUGGCCGGCCACAUU
This 277-nucleotide ribosomal RNA is filed under the name uncultured bacterium. Its description in RNAcentral is "partial 16S ribosomal RNA". It matches the Rfam family "Bacterial small subunit ribosomal RNA", at positions 30 to 314 of the family's 1533-position model. The record is from RNAcentral.